This is a non-coding RNA of Saccharomyces cerevisiae AWRI796, 192 nucleotides long. Lineage: Eukaryota; Fungi; Ascomycota; Saccharomycetes; Saccharomycetales; Saccharomycetaceae. The record is from Rfam.
GGCCCUGAUGAUAAUGGUGUCUCUUCUUUCCUCGUCCGAUUCGACCAUGACGACAAGGGAUUUUAUCUCGUUCUCUUAAUGCGAAUGAUUUUGAAAAGAUGUUGCUUCUGUGACUAUUUUUUUUUWAAUCAUUCGUGUUUGCAAACGGGAACUUUUCUUGCCAGUGUUAUACAACACAUGCAGAUCUGAGCC